UGGGGAAUAUUGGACAAUGGGCGCAAGCCUGAUCCAGCCAUGCCGCGUGAGUGAUGAAGGCCCUAGGGUUGUAAAGCUCUUUCACCGGUGAAGAUAAUGACGGUAACCGGAGAAGAAGCCCCGGCUAACUUCGUGCCAGCAGCCGCGGUAAUACGAAGGGGGCUAGCGUUGUUCGGAUUUACUGGGCGUAAAGCGCACGUAGGCGGACUUUUAAGUCAGGGGUGAAAUCCCGGGGCUCAACCCCGGAACUGCCUUUGAUACUGGAAGUCUUGAGUAUGGUAGAGGUGAGUGGAAUUCCGAGUGUAGAGGUGAAAUUCGUAGAUAGUCGGAGGAACACCAGUGGCGAAGGCGGCUCACUGGACCAUUACUGACGCUGAGGUGCGAAAGCGUGGGGAGCAAACAGG
Molecule: ribosomal RNA, 404 nt
Filed under: Actinomycetes bacterium
Lineage: Bacteria; Bacillati; Actinomycetota; Actinomycetes
Also listed under: 1 other name
Description: Actinobacteria bacterium partial 16S ribosomal RNA
Rfam family: Bacterial small subunit ribosomal RNA
Source: RNAcentral